UCCGGUAUGGUCUAUCGGCUAGGAUCACCCGCUUUCAUUCAUGAAGCAGCUGUGUACAGCACCGGGUAGGGCCGGGUUCGACUCCCGGUACCGGAA
Trichodelitschia bisporula is the source of this 96-nucleotide non-coding RNA. NCBI's taxonomy places the organism in Eukaryota, Fungi, Ascomycota, Dothideomycetes, Phaeotrichales, Phaeotrichaceae. The record is from the annotation of a GenBank genome assembly.